RNAcentral lists this ribosomal RNA (732 nucleotides) under uncultured Lachnospiraceae bacterium. RNAcentral's name for it is "bacterial SSU rRNA". It matches the Rfam family "Bacterial small subunit ribosomal RNA", at positions 28 to 761 of the family's 1533-position model. Lineage: Bacteria; Bacillati; Bacillota; Clostridia; Lachnospirales; Lachnospiraceae. The record is from RNAcentral.
GAUGAACGCUGGCGGCGUGCUUAACACAUGCAAGUCGAACGGGAAAUAUUUCAUUGAGACUUCGGUGGAUUUGAUCUAUUUCUAGUGGCGGACGGGUGAGUAACGCGUGGGUAACCUGCCUCAUACAGGGGGAUAACAGUCAGAAAUGGCUGCUAAUACCGCAUAAGCGCACAGAGCUGCAUGGCUCAGUGUGAAAAACUCCGGUGGUAUAAGAUGGACCCGCGUUGGAUUAGCUUGUUGGUGGGGUAACGGCCCACCAAGGCGACGAUCCAUAGCCGGCCUGAGAGGGUGAACGGCCACAUUGGGACUGAGACACGGCCCAGACUCCUACGGGAGGCAGCAGUGGGGAAUAUUGCACAAUGGGGGAAACCCUGAUGCAGCGACGCCGCGUGAAGGAAGAAGUAUCUCGGUAUGUAAACUUCUAUCAGCAGGGAAGAUAGUGACGGUACCUGACUAAGAAGCCCCGGCUAACUACGUGCCAGCAGCCGCGGUAAUACGUAGGGGGCAAGCGUUAUCCGGAUUUACUGGGUGUAAAGGGAGCGUAGACGGUGUGGCAAGUCUGAUGUGAAAGGCAUGGGCUCAACCUGUGGACUGCAUUGGAAACUGCCAUACUUGAGUGCCGGAGGGGUAAGCGGAAUUCCUAGUGUAGCGGUGAAAUGCGUAGAUAUUAGGAGGAACACCAGUGGCGAAGGCGGCUUACUGGACGGUAACUGACGUUGAGGCUCGAAAGCG